AUUGAACGCUGGCGGCGUGCCUAACACAUGCAAGUCGAGCGGUAACAGGUGUAGCAAUACAUGCUGACGAGCGGCGAACGGGUGAGUAAUGCUUUGGAAUCUUCCCAGUAGUGGGGAAUAACCAGUCGAAAGAUUGGCUAAUACCGCAUACGUCUGUAAAGGGAAAGCGGGGGACUCGCCUCUUCUUCGGAAGAGAGGCCUCGCGCUAUUGGAUGAGCCAAAGCGGAUUAGCUAGUUGGUGGGGUAAUGGCCUACCAAGGCGACAAUCCGUAGCUGGUCUGAGAGGACGACCAGCCACACCGGAACUGAGACACGGCCCGGACUCCUACGGGAGGCAGCAGUGGGAAUAUUGGACAAUGGGGAAACCCUGAUCCAGCGACGCCGCGUGUGUGAAGAAGGCCU
RNAcentral lists this ribosomal RNA (402 nucleotides) under uncultured bacterium. RNAcentral's name for it is "bacterial SSU rRNA". It matches the Rfam family "Bacterial small subunit ribosomal RNA", at positions 30 to 417 of the family's 1533-position model. The record is from RNAcentral.